This 29-nucleotide non-coding RNA is filed under the name Mus musculus (house mouse). The record is from RNAcentral. Lineage: Eukaryota; Metazoa; Chordata; Mammalia; Rodentia; Muridae.
UGGUGCAUACAUCAUACCAAUCACACCUC